GAUGAACGCUGGCGGCGUGCCUAAUACAUGCAAGUCGAGCGAACAGACGAGGAGCUUGCUCCUCUUACGUUAGCGGCGGACGGGUGAGUAACACGUGGAUAACCUACCUAUAAGACUGGGAUAACUUCGGGAAACCGGAGCUAAUACCGGAUAAUAUAUUGAACCGCAUGGUUCAAUAGUGAAAGACGGUUUUGCUGUCUCUUAUAGAUGGAUCCGCGCCGCAUUAGCUAGUUGGUAAGGUAACGGCUUACCAAGGCAACGAUGCGUAGCCGACCUGAGAGGGGGAUCGGCCACACUGGAACUGAGACACGGUACAGACUCCUACGGGAGGCAGCAGUAGGGAAUCUUCCGCAAUGGGCGAAAGCCUGACGGAGCAACGCCGCGUGAGUGAUGAAGGUCUUCGGAUCGUAAAACUCUGUUAUUAGGGAAGAAAAAAUGUGUAAGUAACUAUGCACGUCUUGACGGUACCUAAUCAGAAAGCCACGGCUAACUACGUG
RNAcentral lists this ribosomal RNA (497 nucleotides) under uncultured bacterium. Its description in RNAcentral is "partial 16S ribosomal RNA". It matches the Rfam family "Bacterial small subunit ribosomal RNA", at positions 28 to 507 of the family's 1533-position model. The record is from RNAcentral.